CCUACGGGAGGCAGCAGUGGGGAAUAUUGGACAAUGGGGGGAACCCUGAUCCAGCCAUGCCGCGUGUGUGAAGAAGGCCCUCGGGUUGUAAAGCACUUUCAGUGAGGAAGAACGCCUGGUGGUUAAUACCCAUCAGGAAAGACAUCACUCACAGAAGAAGCACCGACUAACUCCGUGCCAGCAGCCGCGGUAAUACGGAGGGUGCGAGCGUUAAUCGGAAUUACUGGGCGUAAAGCGCGCGUAGGUGGCUUGAUAAGCCGGUUGUGAAAGCCCCGGGCUCAACCUGGGAACGGCAUCCGGAACUGUCAAGCUAGAGUGCAGGAGAGGAAGGUAGAAUUCCCGGUGUAGCGGUGAAAUGCGUAGAGAUCGGGAGGAAUACCAGUGGCGAAGGCGGCCUUCUGGACUGACACUGACACUGAGGUGCGAAAGCGUGGGUAGCAAACAGGAUUAGAUACCCCAGUAGUC
Molecule: ribosomal RNA, 465 nt
Filed under: Vreelandella stevensii
Lineage: Bacteria; Pseudomonadati; Pseudomonadota; Gammaproteobacteria; Oceanospirillales; Halomonadaceae
Description: partial 16S ribosomal RNA
Rfam family: Bacterial small subunit ribosomal RNA
Source: RNAcentral